Molecule: ribosomal RNA, 281 nt
Filed under: Aquibacillus halophilus
Lineage: Bacteria; Bacillati; Bacillota; Bacilli; Caryophanales; Bacillaceae
Description: Virgibacillus sp. B6B(2010) Bacterial small subunit ribosomal RNA
Rfam family: Bacterial small subunit ribosomal RNA
Source: Rfam by way of RNAcentral
CCUUAGUUGCCAGCAUUUAGUUGGGCACUCUAAGGUGACUGCCGGUGACAAACCGGAGGAAGGUGGGGAUGACGUCAAAUCAUCAUGCCCCUUAUGACCUGGGCUACACACGUGCUACAAUGGAUGGUACAAAGGGCAGCGAAGCCGCGAGGUGAAGCGAAUCCCAUAAAACCAUUCUCAGUUCGGAUUGUAGGCUGCAACUCGCCUACAUGAAGCCGGAAUCGCUAGUAAUCGCGGAUCAGCAUGCCGCGGUGAAUACGUUCCCGGGCCUUGUACACACC